GCUGCCAUCCUACUGAGGAAAAAGACAUCAUUCUAAUGUACUGUAAUAAAUUCUGAUCAUGAAAUCAGCCCAUUAGGAAGCACCUCUUGGAGAUCAUGGAUAACAUGCUAGGAAAAUGCAUCCUUUUUUAGUGGGCUUAUCAAAAAUAGUGAUGACGUACAUCUUGCCAAACCUAUUGCAACCUCCCCUUAGAUGUUAAUAUUAUUGCUGGAAGUUGGACUUUUCAUAGAACAUGUGAGAGAUUAGCAAGAACAUGUGAAAUGUUUUCAACUGGGAAGUCGGAUACAGAAGCAUCAUCCACAGUUUUUAUUGGGCCGAGUCAAAUAGGGGGCCUCUACCUGGUUGAAUUAUUAAGGGAUAAUUGAUCAUGUCUGUAACUUGCUCUCAAAUGGUUCAGCCAAAUGUCAGAAAUGUCAGAGAGACAGAGAGAAGGAGACAGGAGGAAGGGAGAGAGAAAGAGAAAAAGAGAAGAUAUAGUAAAGGUGGCAAAAUGAUGAAAAUUGGCAAAUGUACGUAAAGGCAUACAGAACUUCGAUGAACGAUUCUUGCAACCUUUAUAUAAUUCUGAAGGCUUUUAAAAAAAUGGCAAGCUUUCAAAUAAAAGCAAUUUAGGAAUU
RNAcentral lists this long non-coding RNA (617 nucleotides) under Homo sapiens (human). Its description in RNAcentral is "HSALNT0307740". Lineage: Eukaryota; Metazoa; Chordata; Mammalia; Primates; Hominidae. The record is from RNAcentral.